AUUGAACGCUGGCGGCAGGCCUAACACAUGCAAGUCGGACGGUAGCACAGAGGAGCUUGCUCCUCGGGUGACGAGUGGCGGACGGGUGAGUAAUGUCUGGGGAUCUGCCCGAUAGAGGGGGAUAACCACUGGAAACGGUGGCUAAUACCGCAUAACGUCGCAAGACCAAAGAGGGGGAACUUCGGGCCUCUCACUAUCGGCUGAACCCAGAUGGGAUUAGCUAGUAGGCGGGGUAACGGCCCACCUAGGCGACGAUCCCUAGCUGGUCUGAGAGGAUGACCAGCCACACUGGAACUGAGACACGGUCCAGACUCCUACGGGAGGCAGCAGUGGGGAAUAUUGCACAAUGGGCGCAAGCCUGAUGCAGCCAUGCCGCGUGUAUGAAGAAGGCCUUCGGGUUGUAAAGUACUUUCAGCGGGGAGGAAGGCGAUAAGGUUAAUAACCUUGUCGAUUGACGUUACCCGCAGAAGAAGCACCGGCUAACUCCGUGCCAGCCGCCGCAGUAA
RNAcentral lists this ribosomal RNA (506 nucleotides) under uncultured bacterium. RNAcentral describes it as "partial 16S ribosomal RNA". It matches the Rfam family "Bacterial small subunit ribosomal RNA", at positions 29 to 523 of the family's 1533-position model. The record is from RNAcentral.